RNAcentral lists this ribosomal RNA (1145 nucleotides) under uncultured organism. Its description in RNAcentral is "bacterial SSU rRNA". It matches the Rfam family "Bacterial small subunit ribosomal RNA", at positions 82 to 1252 of the family's 1533-position model. The record is from RNAcentral.
UCUAAGGUGGAGAGUGGCGCACGGGUGAGUAACACAUGGCUGACCUGCCCCUCAGAGGGGGACAAGCGGUGGAAACGCCGGCUAAUACCCCAUGCUUGCGUCCGGGUUAGAGGCCGGAUGCAGAAAGGCCGAGGCGCUGAGGGAGGGGGCUGUGGACCAUCAGCUAGUUGGUAGGGUAACGGCCUACCAAGGCGAGGACGGAUAGGGGGCCUGAGAGGGUGACCCCCCACACGGGCACUGAGACACGGGCCCGACUCCUACGGGAGGCAGCAGUAAGGGAUAUUGCGACAAUGGGCGAAAGCCUGACGCAGCAACGCCGCGUGGAGGAUGAAGGCCUUCGGGUUGUAAACUCCUUUUCUGUGGGAAGAGGAAGGACGGUACCACCAGGAAGAAGUCUCGGCUAACUACGUGCCAGCAGCCGCGGUAAAACGUAGGAGGCGAGCGUUAUCCGGAUUUACUGGGUGUAAAGCGCGUGCAGGCGGUCUGGUAAGUCGAGCGUGAAAGCUCCCGGCUCAACCGGGAGAGGACGUGCGAAACUGCGAGGCUAAGAGACAGGUAGAGGCGUACGGAAUUCCGGGUGUAGUGGUGAAAUGCGUAGAUAUCCGGAGGAAACACCAGUGGCGAAGGCGGUACGCUUGGGCCUGGUCUGACGCUAAAGACGCGAAAAGCAUGGGGAGCGAACGGGAUUAGAAACCCCGGUAGUCCAUGCCGUAAACGAUGCUAACUAGGUGUUGCGGGUAAAAGACCGGCAGUGCCGGAGUUAACGCGAUAAGUUAGCCACCUGGGGACUACGGUCGCAAGGCUAAUACUCAAAGGAAUUGACGGGGGCCCGCACAAGCAGCGGAGCGUGUGGUUUAAUUCGAGGCUACACGAAGAACCUUACCUGGGCUUGACAUGACGGUGGUAGGGAACCGAAAGGGGACCGACCUUCGGGAGCCGUCACAGGUGCUGCAUGGCUGUCGUCAGCUCGUGUCGUGAGAUGUUCGGUUAAGUCCGGUAACGAGCGCAACCCUCAUCGCUAGUUACAAGUGUCUAGCGAGACUGCCCGUUCAACGCGGGAGGAAGGCGGGGAUGACGUCAAGUCAGCAUGGCCUUUAUGUCCAGGGCUACACACACGCUACAAUGGCCGGUACAAUGGGUCGCCA